AAUUUUGGACAAUGGGGGAAACCCUGAUCCAGCCAUCCCGCGUGUAUGAUGAAGGCCUUCGGGUUGUAAAGUACUUUUGGCAGAGAAGAAAAGGUAUCUCNUAAUACGAGAUACUGCUGACGGUAUCUGCAGAAUAAGCACCGGCUAACUACGUGCCAGCAGCCGCGGUAAUACGUAGGGUGCAAGCGUUAAUCGGAAUUACUGGGCGUAAAGCGUGUGUAGGCGGUUCGGAAAGAAAGAUGUGAAAUCCCAGGGCUCAACCUUGGAACUGCAUUUUUAACUGCCGAGCUAGAGUAUGUCAGAGGGGGGUAGAAUUCCACGUGUAGCAGUGAAAUGCGUAGAUAUGUGGAGGAAUACCGAUGGCGAAGGCAGCCCCCUGGGAUAAUACUGACGCUCAGACACGAAAGCGUGGGGAGCAAACAGGAUUAGAUACCCCUGGUAGUCCACGCCCUAAACGAUGUCAACCUAGCUGUUGGGGCCGUUAGGCC
RNAcentral lists this ribosomal RNA (488 nucleotides) under uncultured Gammaproteobacteria bacterium. RNAcentral describes it as "bacterial SSU rRNA". It matches the Rfam family "Bacterial small subunit ribosomal RNA", at positions 360 to 839 of the family's 1533-position model. Lineage: Bacteria; Pseudomonadati; Pseudomonadota; Gammaproteobacteria. The record is from RNAcentral.